RNAcentral lists this ribosomal RNA (459 nucleotides) under uncultured bacterium. RNAcentral's name for it is "partial 16S ribosomal RNA". It matches the Rfam family "Bacterial small subunit ribosomal RNA", at positions 338 to 795 of the family's 1533-position model. The record is from RNAcentral.
CCUACGGGCGGCAGCAGUGAGGAAUAUUGGUCAAUGGGCGCGAGCCUGAACCAGCCAAGUCGCGUGAGGGAAGACGGUCCUAUGGAUUGUAAACCUCUUUUGUCGGGGAGCAAAAGACGCCACGUGUGGCGUUCCGAGAGUACCCGAAGAAAAAGCAUCGGCUAACUCCGUGCCAGCAGCCGCGGUAAUACGGAGGAUGCGAGCGUUAUCCGGAUGUAUUGGGUUUAAAGGGUGCGCAGGCGGAAGAUCAAGUCAGCGGUAAAAUUGAGAGGCUCAACCUCUUCGAGCCGUUGAAACUGGUUUUCUUGAGUGAGCGAGAAGUAUGCGGAAGGCGUGGUGGAGCGGUGAAAUGCAUAGAUAUCACGCAGAACUCCGAUUGCGAAGGCAGCAUACCGGCGCUCAACUGACGCUCAUGCACGAAAGUGUGGGUAUCGAACAGGAUUAGAUACCCCUGUAGUC